This 478-nucleotide ribosomal RNA is filed under the name uncultured bacterium. RNAcentral's name for it is "partial 16S ribosomal RNA". It matches the Rfam family "Bacterial small subunit ribosomal RNA", at positions 28 to 523 of the family's 1533-position model. The record is from RNAcentral.
GACGAACGCUGGCGGCGUGCUUAACACAUGCAAGUCGAACGGUAAGGCCCUUCGGGGUACACGAGUGGCGAACGGGUGAGUAACACGUGGGUGAUCUGCCCUGCACUUCGGGAUAAGCCUGGGAAACUGGGUCUAAUACCGGAUAGGACCCUGGGAUGCAUGUACUGGGGUGGAAAGCUUUUGCGGUGUUGGAUGGGCCCGCGGCCUAUCAGCUUGUUGGUGGGGUGAUGGCCUACCAAGGCGACGACGGGUAGCCGGCCUGAGAGGGUGACCGGCCACACUGGGACUGAGAUACGGCCCAGACUCCUACGGGAGGCAGCAGUGGGGAAUAUUGCACAAUGGGCGCAAGCCUGAUGCAGCGACGCCGCGUGAGGAAUGACGGCCUUCGGGUUGUAAACCUCUUUCAGCACCGACGAAGCGCAAGUGGCGGUAGGUGCAGAAGAAGGACCGGCCAACUACGUGCCAGCAGCCGCAGUAA